GAUGGAAGAACGUAGCGAAAUGCGAUAAGUAGUGUGAAUUGCAGAAUUCAGUGAAUCAUCGAAUCUUUGAACGCACAUUGCGCCCCUUGGUAUUCCAUGGGGCAUGCCUGUUCGAGCGUCAUUUGUACCUUCAAGCUCUGCUUGGUGUUGGGUGUUUGUCUCGCCUCUGCGUGUAGACUCGCCUCAAAACAAUUGGCAGCCGGCGUAUUGAUUUCGGAGCGCAGUACAUCUCGCGCUUUGCACUCAUAACGACGACGUCCAAAAGUACAUUUUUACACUCUUGACCUCGGAUCAGGUAGGGAUACCCGCUGAACUUAAGCAUAUCAAUAAGCGGAGGA
RNAcentral lists this unclassified non-coding RNA (338 nucleotides) under soil metagenome. Its description in RNAcentral is "partial contains 5.8S ribosomal RNA, internal transcribed spacer 2, and large subunit ribosomal RNA". The stretch from base 5 to 121 matches the Rfam family "5.8S ribosomal RNA", at positions 38 to 154 of the family's 154-position model. The record is from RNAcentral.